AGCAGCGUGGCCUAGCGGAAAGACCGUGGGCCUAGGAGCCAGAGGACCUGGGUUCUAAUCCCAGCUCUGCCA
Molecule: non-coding RNA, 72 nt
Organism: Ornithorhynchus anatinus (platypus)
Lineage: Eukaryota; Metazoa; Chordata; Mammalia; Monotremata; Ornithorhynchidae
Source: Rfam